Molecule: ribosomal RNA, 755 nt
Filed under: Saccharomyces cerevisiae (brewer's yeast)
Lineage: Eukaryota; Fungi; Ascomycota; Saccharomycetes; Saccharomycetales; Saccharomycetaceae
Description: eukaryotic LSU rRNA
Rfam family: Eukaryotic large subunit ribosomal RNA (bases 151-755)
Source: RNAcentral
UCCAAAGAGAGGUUUCUCUGCGUGCUUGAGGUAUAAUGCAAGUACGGUCGUUUUAGGUUUUACCAACUGCGGCUAAUCUUUUUUAUACUGAGCGUAUUGGAACGUUAUCGAUAAGAAGAGAGCGUCUAGGCGAACAAUGUUCUUAAAGUUUGACCUCAAAUCAGGUAGGAGUACCCGCUGAACUUAAGCAUAUCAAUAAGCGGAGGAAAAGAAACCAACCGGGAUUGCCUUAGUAACGGCGAGUGAAGCGGCAAAAGCUCAAAUUUGAAAUCUGGUACCUUCGGUGCCCGAGUUGUAAUUUGGAGAGGGCAACUUUGGGGCCGUUCCUUGUCUAUGUUCCUUGGAACAGGACGUCAUAGAGGGUGAGAAUCCCGUGUGGCGAGGAGUGCGGUUCUUUGUAAAGUGCCUUCGAAGAGUCGAGUUGUUUGGGAAUGCAGCUCUAAGUGGGUGGUAAAUUCCAUCUAAAGCUAAAUAUUGGCGAGAGACCGAUAGCGAACAAGUACAGUGAUGGAAAGAUGAAAAGAACUUUGAAAAGAGAGUGAAAAAGUACGUGAAAUUGUUGAAAGGGAAGGGCAUUUGAUCAGACAUGGUGUUUUGUGCCCUCUGCUCCUUGUGGGUAGGGGAAUCUCGCAUUUCACUGGGCCAGCAUCAGUUUUGGUGGCAGGAUAAAUCCAUAGGAAUGUAGCUUGCCUCGGUAAGUAUUAUAGCCUGUGGGAAUACUGCCAGCUGGGACUGAGGACUGCGACGUAAGUCAA